GUUUCUUUCGAAAGGCGAACAGGGAAUCAAUACGACGAUCUGUUUAUACAAGAGAAAUAACUUUUGUCGUUUUUGCUAGAUACGUUUGCUCUUUCUUUUUUUUUUUUUUUUUUUUUUUUUUUAUCAAAAUGCAUAAUACUUGAUAACAGGUAUAUAACUACUAAGCUGUACAUGCAGAUUAGAAAAUCAUUAUACAUGUAGGGAUUCCAUUAAGGUUUAAUCUAUUUGUUUCAAAUAUGAACGAUUUUCAGUAUCUUGGUUGGUGUUUCCGAGGUUUUUCGCGCAUACAGCAAAAAUCAGACUAUAUUUUAAGAUAGAGAAAUAAGUUUUUCUCAAAAAAUACCACGCCUAAAAAUGAUCAGAUUAUUCAGUGUACUGCAAAUAAUUAUAAGUAGCAAUUAACAAUAGUUCGACAUAGAUUUUCGAGAGUCCCUUGUUUUAUCUCGACUUUUUUUCCAAAGUUUUAAACAUUUUCCGUUCAUCUCUAUCUGCAGUUUCUACUCUUAUUUUUUUUACCCAGAACUACUUUGUGCGCUUGAGGAGACAACCACAUGACUUACUGGCAGUCUCUGUUUGUAAAUUAUUAGAGUUUUUUUUUUUAUUAUUAUUCUUUUUUUAUCAAAAUAUCAUACUUUAUAUUUUU
RNAcentral lists this long non-coding RNA (643 nucleotides) under Mytilus galloprovincialis (Mediterranean mussel). The record is from RNAcentral. Lineage: Eukaryota; Metazoa; Mollusca; Bivalvia; Mytilida; Mytilidae.